RNAcentral lists this ribosomal RNA (781 nucleotides) under uncultured bacterium. RNAcentral's name for it is "bacterial SSU rRNA". It matches the Rfam family "Bacterial small subunit ribosomal RNA", at positions 60 to 823 of the family's 1533-position model. The record is from RNAcentral.
AGUCGAGCGAACAGACGAGGAGCUUGCUCCUCUGACGUUAGCGGCGGACGGGUGAGUAGCACGUGGAUAACCUACCUAUAAGACUGGGAUAGCUUCGGGAAACCGGAGCUAAUACCGGAUAAUAUAUUGAACCGCAUGGUCCAAUAGUGAAAGACGGUUUUGCUGUCACUUAUAGAUGGAUCCGCGCCGCAUUAGCUAGUUGGUAAGGUAACGGCUUACCAAGACAACGAUGCGUAGCCGACCUGAGAGGGUGAUCGGCCACACUGGAACUGAGACACGGUCCAGACUCCUACGGGAGGCAGCAGUAGGGAAUCUUCCGCAAUGGGCGAAAGCCUGACGGAGCAACGCCGCGUGAGUGAUGAAGGUCUUCGGAUCGUAAAACUCUGCUACUAGGGAAGAACAAAUGUGUAAGUAACUAUGCACGUCUUGACGGUACCUAAUCAGAAAGCCACGGCUAACUACGUGCCAGCAGCCGCGGUAAUACGUAGGUGGCAAGCGUUAUCCGGAAUUAUUGGGCGUAAAGCGCGCGUAGGUGGUUUUUUAAGUCUGAUAUGAAAGCCCACGGCUCAACCGUGGAGGGUCAUUGGAAACUGGAAAACUUGAGUGCAGAAGAGGAAAGUGGAAUUCCAUGUGUAGCGGUGAAAUGCGCAGAGAUAUGGAGGAACACCAGUGGCGAAGGCGACUUUCUGGUCUGUAACUGACGCUGAUGUGCGAAAGCGUGGAGAUCAAACAGGAUUAGAUACCCUGGUAGUCCACGCCGUAAACGAUGAGUGCUAAGUGU